AGUGAACGCUGGCGGUAGGCCUAACACAUGCAAGUCGAACGGCAGCACAGUAAGAGCUUGCUCUUACGGGUGGCGAGUGGCGGACGGGUGAGGAAUACAUCGGAAUCUACUUUUUCGUGGGGGAUAACGUAGGGAAACUUACGCUAAUACCGCAUACGACCUACGGGUGAAAGCAGGGGAUCUUCGGACCUUGCGCGAUUGAAUGAGCCGAUGUCGGAUUAGCUAGUUGGCGGGGUAAAGGCCCACCAAGGCGACGAUCCGUAGCUGGUCUGAGAGGAUGAACAGCCAGACUGGAACUGAGACACGGUCCAGACUCCGACGGGAGGCAGCAGUGGGGAAUAUUGGACAAUGGGCGCAAGCCUGAUCCAGCCAUACCGCGUGGGUGAAGAAGGCCUUCGGGUUGUAAAGCCCUUUUGUUGGGAAAGAAAAGCAGCAGGUUAAUACCCCGCUGUUCUGACGGUACCCAAAGAAUAAGCACCGGCUAACUUCGUG
RNAcentral lists this ribosomal RNA (492 nucleotides) under uncultured bacterium. RNAcentral describes it as "partial 16S ribosomal RNA". It matches the Rfam family "Bacterial small subunit ribosomal RNA", at positions 29 to 507 of the family's 1533-position model. The record is from RNAcentral.